CUCACACACCAAAUCAAGAGAGAAAAUUAUUAACAGAAAAAUUGUUUUCUUGUUCCAUUUAUAAUGAGUUGAAAUUUUUGAGAAAAGUUUCAGCACAAUAUUAAUCCAGUUUGUUCGUGAGUUCCGUUGAUAGCAAAGAUUGCCUCAGUGGAUACGCAUAGAGUCUUCAAGGUCAGCAACAAAUACAAUAUGUCGGACAAGCUUAGCCAAUUGCCAGAUGAGCUUCUUGUGUCAAUUGUGUCUCAGUUGACAUUGAGGGAAGCAGUGGUUGUGAGUUGUCUUUCAAGUCGAUGGCGCUAUAUUUGGACACAUGUCACACGUCCUAACUUUAAUCUUCCAAUUCCCAUAGAGGAAUGGGAUUGUAAAGAUACAGAAUUUUGCAGAAAGGAAGCAUCGAGACAUAUCGAUUGGAUUAAUCAUGUUUUGGCUUUGCACAAGUCAAAGUCUAAUUGUCAUUUAGAAGAAUUCAGUGUCUCUUGUCUUUUUCAAGAUAGUUUUCAAUGUGAAAUUGAUAAAUGGCUCAACUUAGCAGUAGCAACAAAAGUUGAAAGCCUGAAGAUAGAAUUGUUCUAUCGUCAUUAUUGGCGAUAGAAUCAUGCUUGUUUUAAUUUGAAGGACUUGUUUGGAUUUCAGAAUCUCAAAGUGCUGACUUUAUGCGGGAUUGAUGUGGAUAGUCAAGUGGUCAAGAUGUUCCUCUCAAGCUGUGCCCUUCUCGAACACUUGUCAAUCCAACAGUCUAACCAAUUGCAACAUCUGGAUAUAAUUGGUCCUUCCCUCAAGUUGAAGCAUUUGGAGAUACAGCAUUGCCAAAUGCUAUCUUCCCUGAAGAUUAAUCAGAGUGUCAAUCUUGUCUCUUUUAACUUCGAAGGAACGGAAACGAAUUUUGAGCUCGAUAUUGUUACUUCAGUUCUUGAUGUUCAUAUUGAUACAUGCUUCUUUCCGUCUUUGUCUGUGUUAUAUCCCGCAUUUUGUACAUUUGGAUAAUUCGAGAUAAUUGCAAGAAGUUAAGGACAAGGCUA
Molecule: long non-coding RNA, 1019 nt
Organism: Lycium barbarum (goji berry)
Lineage: Eukaryota; Viridiplantae; Streptophyta; Magnoliopsida; Solanales; Solanaceae
Exons: 2
Source: RefSeq, a predicted model, not a curated record